UACGUUUACAUUGCCAUACACUGUAAACUGUACACUCAACGCUUAAGACUCUACACUCUACAUAUGCAGUACAAAGCAGAUUAAAAAUUUAACUUUACAAAACACACAAAAUGGCGGCUCACAGGGCAAGACUUCCUCUUGGAAUUAGACGGAAAAUACAGAAAUAUGUAAGAAUAUUUGUAUUUUUCGCGCUGACCUUUGUUUGCAUGUGGGAGUCCUACAGAAAUAUUAGGAAA
Eurytemora carolleeae is the source of this 236-nucleotide long non-coding RNA. RefSeq lists it as uncharacterized. The record is from RefSeq and is a predicted model, not a curated record. The transcript has 3 exons. NCBI's taxonomy places the organism in Eukaryota, Metazoa, Arthropoda, Copepoda, Calanoida, Temoridae.